RNAcentral lists this ribosomal RNA (628 nucleotides) under uncultured bacterium. RNAcentral describes it as "bacterial SSU rRNA". It matches the Rfam family "Bacterial small subunit ribosomal RNA", at positions 224 to 861 of the family's 1533-position model. The record is from RNAcentral.
GAUGAGCCCGCGGCCUAUCAGCUAGUUGGUGGGGUAAUGGCCUACCAAGGCGACGACGGGUAGCCGGCCUGAGAGGGCGACCGGCCACACUGGGACUGAGACACGGCCCAGACUCCUACGGGAGGCAGCAGUGGGGAAUAUUGCGCAAUGGGCGAAAGCCUGACGCAGCAACACCGCGUGAGGGAUGACGGCCUUCGGGUUGUAAACCUCUUUCAGCUCCGACGAAGCGAAAGUGACGGUAGGAGCAGAAGAAGCACCGGCUAACUACGUGCCAGCAGCCGCGGUAAUACGUAGGGCGCAAGCGUUGUCCGGAAUUAUUGGGCGUAAAGAGCUUGUAGGUGGCUUGUCGCGUCUGCCGUGAAAACCCGAGGCUCAACCUCGGGCGUGCGGUGGGUACGGGCAGGCUAGAGUGUGGUAGGGGAGACUGGAACUCCUGGUGUAGCGGUGAUAUGCGCAGAUAUCAGGAAGAACACCGAUGGCGAAGGCAGGUCUCUGGGCCAUUACUGACACUGAGAAGCGAAAGCAUGGGGAGCGAACAGGAUUAGAUACCCUGGUAGUCCAUGCCGUAAACGUUGGGCACUAGGUGUGGGGGAACAUUCCACGUUUUCCGCGCCGUAGCUAACGCAUU